Molecule: ribosomal RNA, 407 nt
Filed under: uncultured Jatrophihabitans sp.
Lineage: Bacteria; Bacillati; Actinomycetota; Actinomycetes; Jatrophihabitantales; Jatrophihabitantaceae
Description: bacterial SSU rRNA
Rfam family: Bacterial small subunit ribosomal RNA
Source: RNAcentral
AGUGGGGAAUAUUGCACAAUGGGCGAAAGCCUGAUGCAGCGACGCCGCGUGAGGGAUGACUGCCUUCGGGUUGUAAACCUCUUUCAGCAGGGACGAAGCGAAAGUGACGGUACCUGCAGAAGAAGCACCGGCCAACUACGUGCCAGCAGCCGCGGUAAUACGUAGGGUGCAAGCGUUGUCCGGAAUUAUUGGGCGUAAAGAGCUCGUAGGCGGCUAGUCGCGUCGGCUGUGAAAACCUGGGGCUCAACCCCGGGCCUGCAGCCGAUACGGGCUAGCUAGAAUUCGGUAGGGGAGACUGGAAUUCCUGGUGUAGCGGUGAAAUGCGCAGAUAUCAGGAGGAACACCGGUGGCGAAGGCGGGUCUCUGGGCCGAUAUUGACGCUGAGGAGCGAAAGCGUGGGGAGCGAA